RNAcentral lists this ribosomal RNA (466 nucleotides) under uncultured bacterium. RNAcentral describes it as "partial 16S ribosomal RNA". It matches the Rfam family "Bacterial small subunit ribosomal RNA", at positions 28 to 507 of the family's 1533-position model. The record is from RNAcentral.
GACGAACGCUGGCGGCGUGCUUAACACAUGCAAGUCGAACGGAAAGGCCUUGCUUUCUGGGUACUCGAGUGGCGAACGGGUGAGUAACACGUGGGUGUUCUGCCCUCUACUCUUUGAUAAGCCUUGGAAACUCGGUCUAAUACCGCGUAUAGCCUUACAUCCCAUGUUGUUUGGUGGGGAGCUUUUGCGGUUCGGGAUGGGCCCGCGGCGUAUCAGCUUGUUGGUGGGGUAAUGGCCUACCAAGGCGACGACGGGUAGCCGACCUGAGAGGGUGAGCGGCCACACUGGGACUGAGACACGGCCCAGACUCCUACGGGAGGCAGCAGUGGGGAAUAUUGCACAAUGGGCGGAAGCCUGAUGCAGCGACGCCGCGUGAGGGAUGACGGCCUUCGGGUUGUAAACCUCUUUCGCCAGGGACGAAGCGUGAGUGACGGUACCUGGAGAAGAAGCACCGGCUAACUACGUG